Long non-coding RNA from Oreochromis niloticus (Nile tilapia), 2791 nucleotides. NCBI's taxonomy places the organism in Eukaryota, Metazoa, Chordata, Actinopteri, Cichliformes, Cichlidae. The record is from Ensembl.
GAGACGGCUAACCUAAACCAAGAGCCUGAAUCAUUAAAGGAGCCAGAGAGGGUGACUCCAGUCUCCAGUCCCAAGGAAGAAAACGUUCCUGAAACUGACAACGGAGACAGUGAGGCCGUGGAAAGCAAAGAGGAGAGUAACCCCGAAGAGAAUCCAGUUAUGAACUUCUUCAAAACCCUAGUGACCCCUACUAAAACGUCCAAAAAGGAAACGGCUAUUCCCGAUGCCGCAAAAGUUAAGUCCCAGAAGGAGACCCAACCAGCGGCAACCACUACUGUUGCACAAAUAUCUGAACCGCCUGCAGCACCGAAAGGAAUGUCCGUCCCACCACCCCCACCUCCAGAGCCACCGAAAAUGGAAAUCAAAGGAGAGCCAACUGCCAAACCUGUAAAGGCCUCGGCGAAAGAAGAACCUAAAGCUGCUGAAAAGGAGCCUGUGUCCUCGAAAGGAAAAUCAGCCAAAGAUACUCUGAGCAAAUUAUUCCGCCAGAAGUUUGAGGUAUUGCUAGGAGUCAAGACCUCCAAAAGCAAUGGUGCUUCAGCAAGUGGAGCCAAAGCCCCGGGCAAGACUGCAGCAGUGAAGGUGGAUUCCUCAAAAGCUGACACCCGGGAGGCUGCUGCAAAACCAGAGCCACCACCACCUGCUCAGGAAGAGAAGAAAAGCGCCUCAAAAUCACCAUUCCUUUCUUUCUUCAAGCCCCAAGUACUAUUAGAUCACAUGACCACAAAAGUCCAGGCAGCCUCCACAAGUGGAAUUCGGUUCCUCAGGAAAACUACUGGACUGGCUGCUGAGCCCAAGAAGGUGACCCCGACCCCACCUGCAGCAGCGGAGGCAGCUCAAGCAGUUAAAGCCAAGGAGGAACCUAAAGUGGCAGCCAAGUCUUCAGAGCAAGCUGCAGAUAACAAACCAGCCUCUGUGCCUUCCCAAGCUGGCGAUGAUGCAGCCAGUGUGCCCAAAAAACUGGAAAAGAGGAACUCCAUUCAGCUAUUCUUUAAAAAUCUGACUCAGAAACGUCCUUCUACAGACGCCGGAGUCCAGACAGAGCCACUGACCGCUGCUCAAGGAGCUGAGAAAGCCAAAUGAGACCAGAAGCAACCCUUACGUUUUCCUGUACAGUCUCCUUCCCUCCUUCUCACUUGUACUCAGUCCUUCUUUUUCUCUCUUAUCGCCUUCUUGAAUCCCCUGAGUUACUUUGACUACUUUGUUUUUUAAUUGUUACUGCUUAAAAGUCACGAUAUCAAAGGUAAGGUUUUGGAAGAGUAAAGGAAAGUGGACAGAACAGUUAGCAGGGAGUUGAACUUGUGGAGAUUUAAAAUGGUCAAAGGUUGUUUGGACAUAUUUUUUUGUCACAUAAAUGUCUUGUCAGCAAUGUGACAUUUUCUACAGACAUUUAAAAUGACUUUUCUCUGUUUUGCAAUCUAACAUACUGGGCUUAUGCAAUAUAUAGUGCCAUGCUUUGCCUUGAACAACUAUUUUGUGUUAAAUCAAUAAAACUCAAUGUCAUAUAGGUUCUAUUUUUACACUUCACACCAGAGAAUUCACACAGUUCAGGUAAUGCAGUGGUUAACAUGAAGUACGUAGAUAUGAGUCAUAGAAAUGCUCUUAAUGGAGCUGGUCUAAGGAGUAUUAAAGUUUAUAUAGCAGAGUGUGCUUACAGAUUUUUGAACUCUAUGCAAGUUAUAUGUGGACUAAAACAAAAAGCUAUCUUUUAGCUUUAAUGGGACAUCACAAUCUCUACUGAUCUUUGGGGAACUGAUUGUAAAUACUCAACAAAUGCUUAAAAAUGCAUCCGAGGUAUUGAAAUGGUGUCUUUGUGCAAAUGUCUCCUUGUGAUAAGCUCUGCAUUACUCAUAAAUCACAACCGAGAAGCUUUUAUUUUGAUUUUAGCACUUUGUCUCGUGUCAACUAACAAGUCUUCCGGUGUAAGUAAACUGUGUCAGGCGUAUGUGCAAUUAAUGUGACGCUUUAGUUUGUCGUUAUGUAGUGUGCAUGUGAAACUUGAGCUAUUCUGAAGACAAUAAAUGCAAAUAAAUAUACCACAUGUCUGUUUUGUUUCAGAGUUUUCAUUUUUAAUGUAAGCUAUAAAAGCAUGGGGAGUGUUAUCAAGAAUAAUUGGGUGUUCCAGCAAUUUUUAAAAAAAAAAGAUGACCAGGCAAGUUUGGCCAAAAAAAAUAAAAGAUGCCUCUAUUGCGUGAGCAGUGUCAUUGCAACCAUUUUUAUGCAUAUAUGAGUGCAGGAAAGGUGUGGCGUAUCACUCUACACCCAUUCCGGGUGUUGAGUCAAAUACUGUAAGUCUGACUCAUGUUCAUAAAGAUGUCUGACAAAUCAUAGGAAAAACCUGAUCCCUUGACCCCUUUGGUGAGAGGAUCUGGUGGUUGCAUGGCAACAUUUUUUGGGUCCACGUGUUCUCAUAUAGGGCAGAGUCAGUGCAAAUCAUUAUAAGAUUAUGGGGAGCCAUCUUAACCCUUUAUUAUGAUGAAAUGCUUCUGUUGGGAGUGGCCUCUUCCAAGAUGGCACCUCGAGCCACAAGUAUGUACAAGAAUUCAAAUCGCAUUCUGUGGCCUUCACAGUCAGCAGAUCAGUUUCCAUUUGAAAGAGUGGUCUAACAUGCUAGACAGCUGGCUAACGUGCUGCCAUGGUCAACAAAACAAGUUAGGGAGUGUUAUUUUUUGGAAAAGGUUUUCCUUUUUUGUUUGUUUUCCUUUAAUUUGUCACCCACUCGUAUAUAUUUGUAAUGCCAGCAAAUAAAUGUCAGUUACCUGGAGAAAAAGCAAAUUAACCAGAGUACAGC